GACGAACGCUGGCGGCGUGCUUAACACAUGCAAGUCGAGCGGUAAGGCCCUUUCGGGGGUACACGAGCGGCGAACGGGUGAGUAACACGUGGGUGACCUGCCCUCAGCUCUGGGAUAAGCCCGGGAAACUGGGUCUAAUACCGGAUAUGACUCCAUGACGCAUGUUGUGGGGUGGAAAGCCUUGUGCGGCUGAGGAUGGGCCCGUGGCCUAUCAGCUUGUUGGUGGGGUGAUGGCCUACCAAGGCGACGACGGGUAGCCGGCCUGAGAGGGCGACCGGCCACACUGGGACUGAGACACGGCCCAGACUCCUACGGGAGGCAGCAGUGGGGAAUCUUGCGCAAUGGGCGAAAGCCUGACGCAGCGACGCCGCGUGAGGGAUGACGGCCUGUGUAACUC
Molecule: ribosomal RNA, 397 nt
Filed under: uncultured bacterium
Lineage: Bacteria
Description: bacterial SSU rRNA
Rfam family: Bacterial small subunit ribosomal RNA
Source: RNAcentral